Non-coding RNA from Piscirickettsia sp., 45 nucleotides. NCBI's taxonomy places the organism in Bacteria, Pseudomonadati, Pseudomonadota, Gammaproteobacteria, Thiotrichales, Piscirickettsiaceae. The record is from Rfam.
AAAAAAGCCUCUUUUGAGGCUACUUUUAUAUACUUUCUAAUAAAG